GACGAUAAGCAAACAUCAGUGACAUCAGUGAAGGACUAAGGACACAGGAGAAGAGGGAGAAGAGCCUAGCUGGUCCUUAGGACAUCUCCAGGUGAUCACAGUUGCUGUCAAUUGCAGUUGGAUUUCUGCGCACACACGCGUUCGGGGCCUCGCUCAAAUGGAUUACAUUUCCGUAACAGGAGGACAAAAAGUUAAACCUGUGAGCUCCCUGCUGUUUUAUUACUGCAUGAAGAUUGGUUAGGAAUGACUGUUCCCGUGGGAUUGUGAAUAUGAGCCCGUGAUCUGCCUAGCACAAAUCUCUGUCCUUUUAUGCAAAAUAUUAUUAGGCUUUCUAGAGCUUUGCCUUGAUAAAAAUCUUUCCU
This 362-nucleotide long non-coding RNA is filed under the name Sus scrofa (pig). Its description in RNAcentral is "lncRNA (ENSSSCG00005025197.1)". The record is from RNAcentral. Lineage: Eukaryota; Metazoa; Chordata; Mammalia; Artiodactyla; Suidae.